RNAcentral lists this unclassified non-coding RNA (426 nucleotides) under Bombus terrestris (buff-tailed bumblebee). RNAcentral's name for it is "misc RNA ENSBTSG00005034390.1". Lineage: Eukaryota; Metazoa; Arthropoda; Insecta; Hymenoptera; Apidae. The record is from RNAcentral.
UCCUCAAAGAUAAAGCAUUGUAAAUCAGUAAAAUCUAUAAGAAAUCACAAAUUGAUCACUAUGUCCACUCUGUCAAAUAUUCUGUUAAUGAAAAGAUACACGGCGUACGAGAUAGUCCAUAAAUAUGAAAGAAUCACGAUCGUGUUACUUUUCUGUGAUUAUUAUACCAUCUUACGUUGAAUAAGAACUGACAUAUGUUUAAAAAGAACAUUACUUUAAUAAGUUAUUUAUUGUACGAAGGAACAAUUACCGGCACGCGAUCGUGACUAUUGAGUCAGAUACCCGGCAGCAAAUAGUCAACCGAACGACAUCCGAUCGGCGCAAUAAGACGGGCAGCCGCGUCGCUAUUUACGAGCACACGGGGUCGCAUAAAUUCAUUUAUCCAGAAGUUAUCGAUAACGUUCAAUAGCAAUCGGAAGAUUUACG